Molecule: ribosomal RNA, 110 nt
Filed under: Myotis davidii
Lineage: Eukaryota; Metazoa; Chordata; Mammalia; Chiroptera; Vespertilionidae
Source: RNAcentral
GUCUACGGCCAUACCACCCUGAACGCGCCCGAUCUCGUCUGACCUUGGAAGCUAAGCAGGGUCGGGCCUGGUUAGUACUUGGAUGGGAGAAAUACAAGGAAUUGUAAGAA